Molecule: ribosomal RNA, 432 nt
Filed under: uncultured bacterium
Lineage: Bacteria
Description: bacterial SSU rRNA
Rfam family: Bacterial small subunit ribosomal RNA
Source: RNAcentral
UGGCGGACGGGUGAGUAAUACAUCGGAACGUGCCCGAUCGUGGGGGAUAACGAAGCGAAAGCUUUGCUAAUACCGCAUACGAUCUACGGAUGAAAGCAGGGGACCGCAAGGCCUUGCGCGGACGGAGCGGCCGAUGGCAGAUUAGGUAGUUGGUGGGAUAAAAGCUUACCAAGCCGACGAUCUGUAGCUGGUCUGAGAGGACGACCAGCCACACUGGGACUGAGACACGGCCCAGACUCCUACGGGAGGCAGCAGUGGGGAAUUUUGGACAAUGGGCGAAAGCCUGAUCCAGCCAUGCCGCGUGCAGGAUGAAGGCCUUCGGGUUGUAAACUGCUUUUGUACGGAACGAAAAGACUCUGGUUAAUACCUGGGGUCCAUGACGGUACCGUAAGAAUAAGCACCGGCUAACUACGUGCCAGCAGCCGCGGUAAU